CGAGGAACCUUACCUGGGCUCAAAUGUAUGUUGACGUAUUCUGAAAGGGAUACUUCUUCGGACAAUAUACAAGGUGCUGCAUGGUUGUCGUCAGCUCGUGCCGUGAGGUGUCGGGUUAAGUCCCAUAACGAGCGCAACCCCUAUCAUUAGUUGCCAUCAGGUCAAGCUGGGGACUCUAAUGAAACUGCCUACGCAAGUAGUGAGGAAGGUGGGGAUGACGUCAAAUCAGCACGGCCCUUACGUCCAGGGCUACACACGUGCUACAAUGGCCGGUACAACGGGCAGCGAAGGAGCGAUCCGGAGCGAAUCCUAAAAGCCGGUCCCAGUUCGGAUUGCAGGCUGAAACUCGCCUACAUGAAGUUGGAGUUGCUAGUAAUCGCGAAUCAGAAUGUCGCGGUGAAUGCGUUCCCGGGUCUU
This 417-nucleotide ribosomal RNA is filed under the name uncultured Sphingobacteriales bacterium. Its description in RNAcentral is "bacterial SSU rRNA". It matches the Rfam family "Bacterial small subunit ribosomal RNA", at positions 962 to 1382 of the family's 1533-position model. Lineage: Bacteria; Pseudomonadati; Bacteroidota; Sphingobacteriia; Sphingobacteriales. The record is from RNAcentral.